UGGGGAAUAUUGGACAAUGGGCGCAAGCCUGAUCCAGCAAUGCCGCGUGAGUGAUGAAGGCCUUAGGGUUGUAAAGCUCUUUCGCACGCGACGAUGAUGACGGUAGCGUGAGAAGAAGCCCCGGCUAACUUCGUGCCAGCAGCCGCGGUAAUACGAAGGGGGCUAGCGUUGUUCGGAAUUACUGGGCGUAAAGGGCGCGUAGGCGGCCUGUUUAGUCAGAAGUGAAAGCCCCGGGCUCAACCUGGGAAUAGCUUUUGAUACUGGCAGGCUUGAGUUCCGGAGAGGAUGGUGGAAUUCCCAGUGUAGAGGUGAAAUUCGUAGAUAUUGGGAAGAACACCGGUGGCGAAGGCGGCCAUCUGGACGGACACUGACGCUGAGGCGCGAAAGUGUGGGGAGCAAACAGAUUAGAUACCCUGGUAGUCCACGCCGUAAACGNUGAAUGCUAGACGUCGGGGUGCAUGCACUUCGGUGUCGCCGCUAACGCAUUAAGCAUUCCGCC
This 499-nucleotide ribosomal RNA is filed under the name uncultured bacterium. RNAcentral describes it as "partial 16S ribosomal RNA". It matches the Rfam family "Bacterial small subunit ribosomal RNA", at positions 355 to 873 of the family's 1533-position model. The record is from RNAcentral.